Non-coding RNA from Delphinapterus leucas (beluga whale), 459 nucleotides. The record is from RefSeq and is a predicted model, not a curated record. NCBI's taxonomy places the organism in Eukaryota, Metazoa, Chordata, Mammalia, Artiodactyla, Monodontidae.
UGUGUCACCCAUACCUGUCGCUGGAAUUUCUCCCCGGGCAGAGAUGCCUCAGGACGGUCCCCCAGCUUCGCAACGAGGACGCUCCUUGCGGGGGUGCUGCUGGCUGCAUGGGAGACGAUUCCCCACCUCUGAUCAACUUCAGAAUUGUUUACCACUGGAGCAAGUGCCCUGAUAGUGUUUUGCUCUGUAUAACUGUGGAGUAAUAUUGCAUUGUGUACAUGGACCACUUCUUCUUGGUGCAUUCCUCUGUUGAUGGACAUUUUCGUUGCUUCCAAGUGUUGGCUAUGGUAAGUAUUGCUGGAGUGCAGGAUUGCCAGCCUGUGCCUUUUGAUUCUCAUUUUCUCAGGUAAUAGGCCCAGCAGUGGGUGUGACUGUUUGACUAGUAGCUCAAUGUUUCCUUUUUCAAAGCACCUCCAUUGUGUUUUCAUUAGUGCCACUUACCACGUCCCCCUUAGAACC